UACGGGAGGCAGCAGUGGGGAAUUUUCCGCAAUGGGCGAAAGCCUGACGGAGCAAUACCGCGUGAGGGACGAAGGUCUGUAGAUUGUAAACCUCUUUUGUUAGGGAAGAUAAUGACGGUACCUAACGAAUAAGCAUCGGCUAACUCCGUGCCAGCAGCCGCGGUAAGACGGAGGAUGCAAGCGUUAUCCGGAAUUAUUGGGCGUAAAGCGUACGUAGGCUGUUAGAUAAGUCUGUUGUCAAAGCGCGAGGCUCAACCUUGUAAAGGCAAUGGAAACUGUUUGACUAGAGAGAGAUAGGGGCAGGAGGAAUUCCAGGUGUAGCGGUGAAAUGCGUAGAUAUCUGGAAGAACACCAGUGGCGAAAGCGUCCUGCUGGAUCUCAACUGACGCUGAAGUACGAAAGCUAGGGGAGCGAAUGGGAUUAGAUACCCCAGUAGUCCUAGCCGUAAACGAUGGGUACUAGGUGUUGGUCGUAUCGACCCGAUCAGUGCCGUAGCUAACGCGUUAAGUACCCCGCCUGGGGAGUACGGUCGCAAGAUUGAAACUCAAAGGAAUUGACGGGGA
Molecule: ribosomal RNA, 563 nt
Filed under: uncultured Pseudanabaena sp.
Lineage: Bacteria; Bacillati; Cyanobacteriota; Cyanophyceae; Pseudanabaenales; Pseudanabaenaceae
Description: bacterial SSU rRNA
Rfam family: Bacterial small subunit ribosomal RNA
Source: RNAcentral